This 1280-nucleotide ribosomal RNA is filed under the name uncultured bacterium. RNAcentral's name for it is "bacterial SSU rRNA". It matches the Rfam family "Bacterial small subunit ribosomal RNA", at positions 103 to 1387 of the family's 1533-position model. The record is from RNAcentral.
CGGGUGAGUAACACGUAUCCAACCUGCCGUCUACUCUUGGACAGCCUUCUGAAAGGAAGAUUAAUACAAGAUGGCAUCAUGAGUCCGCAUGUUCACAUGAUUAAAGGUAUUCCGGUAGACGAUGGGGAUGCGUUCCAUUAGAUAGUAGGCGGGGUAACGGCCCACCUAGUCUUCGAUGGAUAGGGGUUCUGAGAGGAAGGUCCCCCACAUUGGAACUGAGACACGGUCCAAACUCCUACGGGAGGCAGCAGUGAGGAAUAUUGGUCAAUGGGCGAGAGCCUGAACCAGCCAAGUAGCGUGAAGGAUGACUGCCCUAUGGGUUGUAAACUUCUUUUAUAAAGGAAUAAAGUCGGGUAUGGAUACCCGUUUGCAUGUACUUUAUGAAUAAGGAUCGGCUAACUCCGUGCCAGCAGCCGCGGUAAUACGGAGGAUCCGAGCGUUAUCCGGAUUUAUUGGGUUUAAAGGGAGCGUAGAUGGAUGUUUAAGUCAGUUGUGAAAGUUUGCGGCUCAACCGUAAAAUUGCAGUUGAUACUGGAUAUCUUGAGUGCAGUUGAGGCAGGCGGAAUUCGUGGUGUAGCGGUGAAAUGCUUAGAUAUCACGAAGAACUCCGAUUGCGAAGGCAGCCUGCUAAGCUGCAACUGACAUUGAGGCUCGAAAGUGUGGGUAUCAAACAGGAUUAGAUACCCUGGUAGUCCACACGGUAAACGAUGAAUACUCGCUGUUUGCGAUAUACGGCAAGCGGCCAAGCGAAAGCGUUAAGUAUUCCACCUGGGGAGUACGCCGGCAACGGUGAAACUCAAAGGAAUUGACGGGGGCCCGCACAAGCGGAGGAACAUGUGGUUUAAUUCGAUGAUACGCGAGGAACCUUACCCGGGCUUAAAUUGCAGAUGAAUUACGGUGAAAGCCGUAAGCCGCAAGGCAUCUGUGAAGGUGCUGCAUGGUUGUCGUCAGCUCGUGCCGUGAGGUGUCGGCUUAAGUGCCAUAACGAGCGCAACCCUUGUUGUCAGUUACUAACAGGUUCCGCUGAGGACUCUGACAAGACUGCCAUCGUAAGAUGUGAGGAAGGUGGGGAUGACGUCAAAUCAGCACGGCCCUUACGUCCGGGGCUACACACGUGUUACAAUGGGGGGUACAGAGGGCCGCUACCACGCGAGUGGAUGCCAAUCCCAAAAACCUCUCUCAGUUCGGACUGGAGUCUGCAACCCGACUCCACGAAGCUGGAUUCGCUAGUAAUCGCGCAUCAGCCACGGCGCGGUGAAUACGAUCCCGGGCCUUGCACU